CCCUUAGAUGUCCUGGGCCGCACGCGCGCUACACUGAUGCAUGCAACGAGUUUAUAACCUUGGCCUGAAAGGUCUGGGUAAUCUUUUGAACGUGCAUCGUGAUAGGGAUAGAUUAUUGCAAUUGUUAAUCUUGAACGAGGAAUUCCUAGUAAACGCGAGUCAUCAGCUCGCAUUGAUUACGUCCCUGCCCUUUGUACACACCGCCCGUCGCACCUACCGAUUGAAUGGUUCGGUGAAGAUCUCGGACUUCGAUAUUUAUUCUUUAUUGAGUUUAGAUUGUGGGAAGUUAUCUAAACCUCAUCAUUUAGAGGAAGGUGAAGUCGUAACA
Molecule: ribosomal RNA, 328 nt
Filed under: uncultured eukaryote
Lineage: Eukaryota
Description: partial 18S ribosomal RNA
Rfam family: Eukaryotic small subunit ribosomal RNA
Source: RNAcentral